CCCUUAGAUGUCCUGGGCCGCACGCGCGUUACACUGAUGCAUUCAACGAGCUUAUAACCUUGGCCGAGAGGCCUGGGCAAUCUUGUUAACGUGCAUCGUGAUAGGGAUAGAUUAUUGAAAUUAUUAAUCUUGAACGAGGAAUUCCUAGUAAACGCAGAUCAUCAAUCUGCAUUGAUUACGUCCCUGCCCUUUGUACACACCGCCCGUCGCACCUACCGAUUGGAUGGUCCGGUGAAGCCUCGGGAUUGUGGUUCUUGCCGCUUUAUUGCGGCGUGACCGCGAGAACUUGUCUAAACCUUAUCAUCUAGAGGAAGGUGAAGUCGUAACA
Molecule: ribosomal RNA, 328 nt
Filed under: uncultured eukaryote
Lineage: Eukaryota
Description: partial 18S ribosomal RNA
Rfam family: Eukaryotic small subunit ribosomal RNA
Source: RNAcentral